AGAGUUUGAUCCUGGCUCAGAACGAACGCUAGCGGUGUGGAUUAGGCAUGCAAGUCGUGCGCGAAAGCCUUCGGGCGAGUAAAGCGGCGAAAGGGUGAGUAACACGUAACCAACGUACCCCUCAGAUCGGAAUAACCUCUGGAAACGGUGGGUAAUGCCGAAUGGUCUUCGCGGGAGACAUCUUCCGGAAGGUAAACGGUGGCUUCGGCUGCUGCUGAGGGAGCGGGUUGCGGCCUAUCAGCUUGUUGGUGGGGUAACGGCCUACCAAGGCGAUGACGGGUAGCGGGUCUGAGAGGAUGAUCCGUCACACUGGGACUGAGACACUGCCCAGACUCCUACGGGAGGCUGCAGUCGAGAAUCUUCCACAAUGGGCGAAAGCCUGAUGGAGCGACGCUGCGUGUAGGAUGAAGGCCCUAGGGUUGUAAACUACUGUCACGCCAUAGGAACCCGUAGUCGUUAAUAGCGGCUGCGCUGACCAAAGCGAAAGGAAGUGCCGGCUAACUCCGUGCCAGCAGCCGCGGUAAUACGGAGGGCGCAAGCGUUGUUCGGAAUCACUGGGCAUAAAGAGCAUGUAGGCGGUCUAUCAAGUCGGAUGUGAAAGCCCUCGGCCCAACCGGGGAACUGCAUUCGAAACUGAUAGACUUGAGGACAGGAGGGGUGAGUGGAACUUCCUGGUGUAGCGGUGAAAUGCGCAGAUAUCAGAAGGAACACCAACGGCGAAGGCAGCGCUCUGGGCCGAUACUGACGCUGAGGAGCGAAAGCAUGGGGAGCAAACAGGAUUAGAUACCCUGGUAGUCCAUGCCGUAAACGUUGGGCACUAGGUGUGGGGCCCUGUCAACGGGUUCCGUGCCGUAGCUAACGCAUUAAGUGCCCCGCCUGGGGAGUACGGCCGCAAGGCUAAAACUCAAAGGAAUUGACGGGGGCCCGCACAAGCGGCGGAGCAUGUUGCUUAAUUCGAGGCAACGCGAAGAACCUUACCUGGGCUUGACAUGCACGGAAAAGCCGUAGAGAUACGGUGUCCUUUUGGGCCGUGCACAGGUGGUGCAUGGCUGUCGUCAGCUCGUGUCGUGAGAUGUUGGGUUAAGUCCCGCAACGAGCGCAACCCUUGUCCUAUGUUGCCAGCGCGUAAUGGUGGGGACUCGUAGGAGACUGCCGGGGUCAACUCGCAGGAAGGUGGGGACGACGUCAAAUCAUCAUGCCCCUUAUGUCCAGGGCUGCAAACAUGCUACAAUGGCCGGUACAAAGGGCAGCGAAACCGCGAGAUCGAGCUAAUCCCUCAAAGCCAGUCUCAGUUCGGAUUGAAGUCUGCAACUCGACUUCAUGAAGCCGGAGUCGCUAGUAAUCCCGGAUCAGCAACGCCGGGGUGAAUACGUUCCCGGGCCUUGUACACACCGCCCGUCACACCACGAAAGUCGGCAACACCCGAAGUCUGUGGCCUAACCCUCUGGGAAGGAGCAGCCGAAGGUGGGGUUGGCGAUUGGGGUGAAGUCGUAACAAGGUAACC
This 1504-nucleotide ribosomal RNA is filed under the name uncultured prokaryote. Its description in RNAcentral is "partial 16S ribosomal RNA". It matches the Rfam family "Bacterial small subunit ribosomal RNA". The record is from RNAcentral.